Molecule: ribosomal RNA, 487 nt
Filed under: uncultured bacterium
Lineage: Bacteria
Description: partial 16S ribosomal RNA
Rfam family: Bacterial small subunit ribosomal RNA
Source: RNAcentral
GAUGAACGCUAGCGAUAGGCUUAACACAUGCAAGUCGAGGGGCAGCACAAGGUAGCUUGCUAUCUGGGUGGCGACCGGCGCACGGGUGCGUAACGCGUAUGCAACUUGCCCUAUACAGGAGGAUAACCCGUCGAAAGACGGACUAAUACUGCGUAUGCUCACAACUUGGCAUCAAGUGGUGAGGAAAGAAAUUCGGUAUAGGAUAGGCAUGCGUCCCAUUAGCUUGUUGGUGAGGUAACGGCUCACCAAGGCAACGAUGGGUAGGGGAACUGAGAGGUUUAUCCCCCACACUGGUACUGAGACACGGACCAGACUCGUACGGGAGGCAGCAGUGAGGAAUAUUGGUCAAUGGGCGCGAGCCUGAACCAGCCAAGUCGCGUGAAGGAUGACUGUCUUAUGGAUUGUAAACUUCUUUUAUACGGGAAUAACAAGAGUCACGUGUGACUCCCUGCAUGUACCGUAUGAAUAAGCAUCGGCUAACUCCGUG